UGCAGUCGACGGAAGGCCCUUCGGGGUACUCGAGUGGCGAACGGGUGAGUAACACGUGGGUGAUCUGCCCUGCACUCUGGGAUAAGCCUGGGAAACUGGGUCUAAUACCGGAUAGGACCACACACUUCAUGGUGAGUGGUGCAAAGCUUUUGCGGUGUGGGAUGAGCCCGCGGCCUAUCAGCUUGUUGGUGGGGUAAUGGCCCACCAAGGCGACGACGGGUAGCCGGCCUGAGAGGGUGACCGGCCACACUGGGACUGAGAUACGGCCCAGACUCCUACGGGAGGCAGCAGUGGGGAAUAUUGCACAAUGGGCGCAAGCCUGAUGCAGCGACGCCGCGUGAGGGAUGACGGCCUUCGGGUUGUAAACCUCUUUCAGUAGGGACGAAGCGAAAGUGACGGUACCUACAGAAGAAGGACCGGCCAACUACGUGCCAGCAGCCGCGGUAAUACGUAGGGUCCGAGCGUUGUCCGGAAUUACUGGGCGUAAAGAGCUCGUAGGUGGUUUGUCACGUUGUUCGUGAAAACCCACAGCUUAACUGUGGGCGUGCGGGCGAUACGGGCAGACUAGAGUACUGCAGGGGAGACUGGAAUUCCUGGUGUAGCGGUGGAAUGCGCAGAUAUCAGGAGGAACACCGGUGGCGAAGGCGGGUCUCUGGGCAGUAACUGACGCUGAGGAGCGAAAGCGUGGGUAGCGAACAGGAUUAGAUACCCUGGUAGUCCACGCCGUAAACGGUGGGUACUAGGUGUGGGUUUCCUUCCUUGGGAUCCGUGCCGUAGCUAACGCAUUAAGUACCCCGCCUGGGGAGUACGGUCGCAAGACUAAAACUCAAAGGAAUUGACGGGGGCCCGCACAAGCGGCGGAGCAUGUGGAUUAAUUCGAUGCAACGCGAAGAACCUUACCUGGGUUUGACAUGCACAGGACGUACCUAGAGAUAGGUAUUCCCUUGUGGCCUGUGUGCAGGUGGUGCAUGGCUGUCGUCAGCUCGUGUCGUGAGAUGUUGGGUUAAGUCCCGCAACGAGCGCAACCCUUGUCCUAUGUUGCCAGCGGGUAAUGCCGGGGACUCGUAGGAGACUGCCGGGGUCAACUCGGAGGAAGGUGGGGAUGACGUCAAGUCAUCAUGCCCCUUAUGUCCAGGGCUUCACACAUGCUACAAUGGCCAGUACAGAGGGCUGCGAAGCCGCAAGGUGGAGCGAAUCCCUUAAAGCUGGUCUCAGUUCGGAUUGGGGUCUGCAACUCGACCCCAUGAAGUCGGAGUCGCUAGUAAUCGCAGAUCAGCAACGCUGCGGUGAAUACGUUCCCGGGCCUUGUAC
This 1311-nucleotide ribosomal RNA is filed under the name Mycobacteroides sp. RNAcentral's name for it is "bacterial SSU rRNA". It matches the Rfam family "Bacterial small subunit ribosomal RNA", at positions 56 to 1386 of the family's 1533-position model. Lineage: Bacteria; Bacillati; Actinomycetota; Actinomycetes; Mycobacteriales; Mycobacteriaceae. The record is from RNAcentral.